GAACCGCUGCUGUGUUUAUGAUAUUGACGUGCAAGAGAAGAAACCUGAUGACGGCAGAAAUAUAUUACCUCGGGCCAUGCCCUACGGUCGCCCCGCUAUGAGGCUUGGCGUUAUCAACUUUCCCUAACGAGGGUUAUUGGAACACCACCGACCUGAACGUCACCGCUGCUCGCAGAAACCAGACCCAGAAGACGGAUCGCUUUCUUUCUCUCUCAAUUAAAUUCAAUUAAAUUCAAGAAGCUUUAUUAGCAUGACUGUUGUAGUGGUUACAGUAUUGCCAAAGCAUUGAAAAGACAUUUAUAUAAAUAUACAAAAAGAAAGAA
Long non-coding RNA from Trichomycterus rosablanca, 323 nucleotides. RefSeq lists it as uncharacterized. The transcript is spliced from 3 exons. The record is from RefSeq and is a predicted model, not a curated record. NCBI's taxonomy places the organism in Eukaryota, Metazoa, Chordata, Actinopteri, Siluriformes, Trichomycteridae.